This is a transfer RNA of 71 nucleotides. It matches the Rfam family "tRNA". Rfam says of the family: Transfer RNA (tRNA) molecules are approximately 80 nucleotides in length. The record is from Rfam.
GCGGUCGUAGCUCAGUGGCAGAGCGAGUGCCUUCCAAGCAUGAGACCGGAGUUCGAUUCUCCGUGACCGCU